GCCAGCAUUAAGGUUGAUCCUUGCUAAUUUUGCAUGGUUAGUACAUGGAUGGGAGACCACUUGGAAAUCCCAGAUGCUGUAGGCU
Molecule: ribosomal RNA, 85 nt
Filed under: Salvator merianae (Argentine black and white tegu)
Lineage: Eukaryota; Metazoa; Chordata; Lepidosauria; Squamata; Teiidae
Source: RNAcentral